UCAGGCCUAACACAUGCAAGUCGAACGGCAGCACGGACUUCGGUCUGGUGGCGAGUGGCGAACGGGUGAGUAAUACAUCGGAACGUGCCCAGUCGUGGGGGAUAACGUAGCGAAAGCUACGCUAAUACCGCAUACGAUCUAAGGAUGAAAGCGGGGGAUCGCAAGACCUCGCGCGAUUGGAGCGGCCGAUGGCAGAUUAGGUAGUUGGUAGGGUAAAGGCCUACCAAGCCGACGAUCUGUAGCUGGUCUGAGAGGAUGAUCAGCCACACUGGGACUGAGACACGGCCCAGACUCCUACGGGAGGCAGCAGUGGGGAAUUUUGGACAAUGGACGCAAGUCUGAUCCAGCCAUUCCGCGUGCAGGAUGAAGGCCCUCGGGUUGUAAACUAGUGUUGUACAGAACGAAAAGGCUCUGGUUAAUACCUGGG
RNAcentral lists this ribosomal RNA (427 nucleotides) under uncultured bacterium. RNAcentral's name for it is "bacterial SSU rRNA". It matches the Rfam family "Bacterial small subunit ribosomal RNA", at positions 42 to 471 of the family's 1533-position model. The record is from RNAcentral.